RNAcentral lists this ribosomal RNA (443 nucleotides) under uncultured bacterium. RNAcentral describes it as "partial 16S ribosomal RNA". It matches the Rfam family "Bacterial small subunit ribosomal RNA", at positions 338 to 795 of the family's 1533-position model. The record is from RNAcentral.
CCUACGGGAGGCAGCAGUGGGGAAUAUUGGACAAUGGGCGCAAGCCUGAUCCAGCAACGCCGCGUGAAGGAAGAAGGCUUUCGGGUUGUAAACUUCUAUUCGCAGGGACGAAGCAAGUGACGGUACCUGAUGAAUAAGCCACGGCCAACUACGUGCCAGCAGCCGCGGUAAUACGUAGGUGGCAAGCGUUAUACGGAUUUACUGGGUGUAAGGGGCGUGUAGACGGGACUGCAAGUCAGGUGUGAAAAGCACGGGCUCAACCUGUGGCCUGCAUUUGAAACUGUGGUUCUUGAGUGUUGGAGAGGCAGGCGGAAUUCCGAGUGUAGCGGUGAAAUGCGUAGAUAUACGGAGGAACACCAGUGGCGAAGGCGGCCUACUGGACAGUAACUGACGCUGAGGCGCGAAAGCGUGGGGAGCAAACAGGAUUAGAUACCCGAGUAGUC